GACGAACGCUGGCGGCGUGCCUAAUACAUGCAAGUAGAACGCUGAAGGAGGAGCUUGCUUCUCUGGAUGAGUUGCGAACGGGUGAGUAACGCGUAGGUAACCUGCCUGGUAGCGGGGGAUAACUAUUGGAAACGAUAGCUAAUACCGCAUAAUAGCAGUUGUUGCAUGACAACUGUUUGAAAGGUGCAAUUGCACCACUACCAGAUGGUCCUGCGUUGUAUUAGCUAGUUGGUGGGGUAACGGCUCACCAAGGCGACGAUACAUAGCCGACCUGAGAGGGUGAUCGGCCACACUGGGACUGAGACACGGCCCAGACUCCUACGGGAGGCAGCAGUAGGGAAUCUUCGGCAAUGGACGGAAGUCUGACCGAGCAACGCCGCGUGAGUGAAGAAGGUUUUCGGAUCGUAAAGCUCUGUUGUAAGAGAAGAACGAGUGUGAGAGUGGAAAGUUCACACUGUGACGGUAUCUUACCAGAAAGGGACGGCUAACUACGUG
RNAcentral lists this ribosomal RNA (495 nucleotides) under uncultured bacterium. RNAcentral's name for it is "partial 16S ribosomal RNA". It matches the Rfam family "Bacterial small subunit ribosomal RNA", at positions 28 to 507 of the family's 1533-position model. The record is from RNAcentral.